Molecule: ribosomal RNA, 253 nt
Filed under: uncultured bacterium
Lineage: Bacteria
Description: partial 16S ribosomal RNA
Rfam family: Bacterial small subunit ribosomal RNA
Source: RNAcentral
UACGAAGGGGGCUAGCGUUGCUCGGAAUCACUGGGCGUAAAGCGCACGUAGGCGGCUUCUUAAGUCAGGGGUGAAAUCCUGGAGCUCAACUCCAGAACUGCCUUUGAUACUGGGAAGCUUGAGUCCGGGAGAGGUGAGUGGAACUGCGAGUGUAGAGGUGAAAUUCGUAGAUAUUCGCAAGAACACCAGUGGCGAAGGCGGCUCACUGGCCCGGUACUGACGCUGAGGUGCGAAAGCGUGGGGAGCAAACAGG